RNAcentral lists this ribosomal RNA (803 nucleotides) under uncultured bacterium. RNAcentral's name for it is "bacterial SSU rRNA". It matches the Rfam family "Bacterial small subunit ribosomal RNA", at positions 651 to 1455 of the family's 1533-position model. The record is from RNAcentral.
UCAGAGGGAGGUAGAAUUNCACGUGUAGCAGUGAAAUGCGUAGAGAUGUGGAGGAAUACCGAUGGCGAAGGCAGCCUCCUGGGAUAACACUGACGUUCAUGCCCGAAAGCGUGGGUAGCAAACAGGAUUAGAUACCCUGGUAGUCCACGCCCUAAACGAUGUCGAUUAGCUGUUGGGCAGCAUGACUGCUUAGCAGCGAAGCUAACGCGUGAAAUCGACCGCCUGGGGAGUACGGUCGCAAGAUUAAAACUCAAAGGAAUUGACGGGGACCCGCACAAGCGGUGGAUGAUGUGGAUUAAUUCGAUGCAACGCGAAGAACCUUACCUGGUCUUGACAUGUACGGAACCCUCCAGAGACGGAGGGGUGCCUUCGGGAGCCGUAACACAGGUGCUGCAUGGCUGUCGUCAGCUCGUGUCGUGAGAUGUUGGGUUAAGUCCCGCAACGAGCGCAACCCUUGUCAUUAGUUGCCAUCAUUAAGUUGGGCACUCUAAUGAGACUGCCGGUGACAAGCCGGAGGAAGGUGGGGAUGACGUCAAGUCCUCAUGGCCCUUAUGACCAGGGCUUCACACGUCAUACAAUGGUCGGUACAGAGGGUAGCCAAGCCGCGAGGCGGAGCCAAUCUCACAAAACCGAUCGUAGUCCGGAUUGCACUCUGCAACUCGAGUGCAUGAAGUCGGAAUCGCUAGUAAUCGCAGGUCAGCAUACUGCGGUGAAUACGUUCCCGGGUCUUGUACACACCGCCCGUCACACCAUGGGAGUGGGGGAUACCAGAAGUAGGUAGGGUAACCGCAAGGAGCCCGCUU